GGAUAAAAUACCAAUUCACAAUAUGCUCCCAUGCUCCCUUGAGUAAUCCCUUGAUAUGAUAUGGAUGGAUGGAUGGAGGGCUGCAUGGUAGGAGGGCAAGAGGCUGGUU
Molecule: long non-coding RNA, 109 nt
Organism: Gavialis gangeticus (Gharial)
Lineage: Eukaryota; Metazoa; Chordata; Crocodylia; Gavialidae
Exons: 3
Source: RefSeq, a predicted model, not a curated record